This 938-nucleotide ribosomal RNA is filed under the name uncultured archaeon. RNAcentral's name for it is "bacterial SSU rRNA". It matches the Rfam family "Archaeal small subunit ribosomal RNA", at positions 41 to 987 of the family's 1478-position model. The record is from RNAcentral.
GGGAUAAGCCAUGCGAGUCAACAUAGCAAUAUGUGGCAUACGGCUCAGUAACACGUAGUCAACAUGCCCAGGGGACGUGGAUAACCUCGGGAAACUGAGGAUAAACCGCGAUAGGUCAUCACUUCUGGAAUGGGUAAUGACUUAAACCUAUAUGGCCCCUGGAUUGGACUGCGGCCGAUCAGGCUGUUGGUGAGGUAAUGGCCCACCAAACCUGUAACCGGUACGGGCUCUGAGAGGAGGAGCCCGGAGAUGGGCACUGAGACAAGGGCCCAGGCCCUAUGGGGCGCAGCAGGCGCGAAACCUCUGCAAUAGGCGAAAGCUUGACAGGGUUACUCUGAGUGAUUUCCGUUAAGGAGAUCUUUUGGCACCUCUAAAAAUGGUGCAGAAUAAGGGGUGGGCAAGUCUGGUGUCAGCCGCCGCGGUAAUACCAGCACCCCGAGUGGUCGGGACGUUUAUUGGGCCUAAAGCAUCCGUAGCCGGUUCUACAAGUCUUCCGUUAAAUCCACCUGCUUAACAGAUGGGCCGCGGAAGAUACUAUAGAGCUAGGAGGCGGGAGAGGCAAGCGGUACUCGAUGGGUAGGGGUAAAAUCCGUUGAUCCAUUGAAGACCACCAGUGGCGAAGGCGGCUUGCCAGAACGCGCUCGACGGUGAGGGAUGAAAGCUGGGGGAGCAAACCGGAUUAGAUACCCGGGUAGCCCCAGCUGUAAACGAUGCAGACUCGGUGAUGAGUUGGCUUAUUGCUAACUCAGUGCCGCAGGGAAGCCGUUAAGUUUGCCGCCUGGGGAGUACGGUCGCAAGACUGAAACUUAAAGGAAUUGGCGGGGGAGCACCACAAGGGGUGAAGCCUGCGGUUCAAUUGGAGUCAACGCCGGAAAUCUUACCGGGGGCGACAGCAGAGUGAAGGUCAAGCUGAAGACUUUACCAGACAAGCUGAGAGG